UGAGUACGAGAUGCUACGGCGUCGAAGCAGUCUAGGUCAUACUUCCAAGAAAAGCUUGCACUGUCAUAAACAAAGAAUGCCUGUACCAUAACCGACACAGGUGGGUAGGUAGAGUAUACUAAGGGGCGCGAGAUAACUCUCUCUAAGGAACUCGGCAAAAUGACUCCGUAACUUCGGGAGAAGGAGUGCCUUAUUUUUAAGGUUGCAAUAACAAGAUCCAAGCAACUGUUUACCAAAAACACAGGUCUCCGCUAAGUCGUAAGACGAUGUAUGGGGGCUGACGCCUGCCCAGUGCCAGAAGGUUAAAGAAGUUGGUUAGCAUUUGCGAAGCUGAUAACUGAAGCCCUGGUGAACGGCGGCCGUAACUAUAACGGUCCUAAGGUAGCGAAAUUCCUUGUCGGGUAAGUUCCGACCCGCACGAAAGGCGUAAUGAUUUGGAUACUGUCUCGGAGAGGGGCUCGGUGAAAUAGACUUGUCUGUGAAGAUGCGGACUACCUGCACCUGGACAGAAAGACCCUAUGAAGCUUUACUGUAACUUGAGAUUGAAAUUGGACUUUAUUUGCGCAGUAUAGGUGGGAGGCGUUGAGAAUAAUCUUGCGGGAUUAUCGGAGCCAUCAGUGAGAUACCACUCUUGUAAUGUUAGAUUUCUAACUUUGUAUCAUUAUCUGGUCAAAGAACAGUUUCAGGCGGGCAGUUUGACUGGGGCGGUCGCCUCCCAAAGGGUAACGGAGGCGCACAAAGGUUUCCUCUGAACGGGUAGAAAUCGUAUCUAGAGUGUAAAGGCAUAAGGAAGCUUGACUGUGAGACCUACAAGUCGAGCAGGGACGAAAGUCGGUCUUAGUGAUCUGACGGUGCUGAGUGGAAAGGCCGUCACUCAACGGAUAAAAGUUACUCUAAGGAUAACAGGCUGAUCUCCCCCAAGAGUUCACAUCGACGGGGAGGUUUGGCACCUCGAUGUCGGCUCAUCGCAUCCUGGGGCGGUAGUACGUCCCAAGGGUUGGGCUGUUCGCCCAUGAAAGCGGUACGCGAGCUGGGUUCAGAACGUCGUGAGACAGUUCGGUCCAUAUCCGGUGUAGGCGUUAGAAUAUUGAAAGGAGCCUUCUCUAGUACGAGAGGACCGAGAAGGACAUACCUCUGGUGUGCCAGUUAUCGUGCCAACGGUAAACGCUGAGUACUAUGUAUGGAGUGGAUAACCGCUGAAAGCAUCUAAGUGGGAAGCCCACCUUAAGAUAAGUAUUCUC
Molecule: ribosomal RNA, 1241 nt
Filed under: metagenome
Description: bacterial LSU rRNA
Rfam family: Bacterial large subunit ribosomal RNA
Source: RNAcentral